UAAUACGUAGGCAGCAAGCGUUGUUCGGAGUUACUGGGCGUAAAGAGUGCGUAGGCGGUUCUCUAAGUUUGGUGUGAAAUCUCCCGGCUCAACUGGGAGGGUGCGCCGAAGACUGGAAAGCUUGAGUGUGGGAGAGGUAAGCGGAAUUCCUGGUGUAGCGGUGAAAUGCGUAGAUAUCAGGAGGAACACCGGUGGUGUAGACGGCUUACUGGACCACUACUGACGCUGAGGCACGAAAGCGUGGGGAGCAAACAGGAUUAGAUACCCUGGUAGUCCACGCCCUAAACGAUGCACACUUGGUGUGAGCCAUUCAUUUGGUUCGUGCCGGAGCUAACGCGUUAAGUGUGCCGCCUGGGGAGUACGGUCGCAAGGCUG
RNAcentral lists this ribosomal RNA (375 nucleotides) under uncultured bacterium. RNAcentral's name for it is "bacterial SSU rRNA". It matches the Rfam family "Bacterial small subunit ribosomal RNA", at positions 521 to 896 of the family's 1533-position model. The record is from RNAcentral.